GGCGAACGGGUGCGUAACACGUGAGGAACAUACCUAUCGGCGGGGGAUAGCCGGCCCAACGGCCGGGUAAUACCGCGUACGCUCUCCGGGAGGCAUCUCCUGGGGAGGAAAGCAGCAAUGCACCGAUAGAGUGCCUCGCGGCCUAUCAGCUAGUUGGUGAGGUAACGGCUCACCAAGGCGACGACGGGUAGCUGGUCUGAGAGGAUGAUCAGCCACAUUGGGACUGAGACACGGCCCAGACUCCUACGGGAGGCAGCAGUGGGGAAUCUUGCGCAAUGGGCGAAAGCCUGACGCAGCGACGCCGCGUGUGGGAUGAAGGCCUUCGGGUCGUAAACCACUGUCGCGAGGGACGAAUAAAUUGACGGUACCUCGAAAGGAAGCACCGGCUAACUCUGUGCCAGCAGCCGCGGUAAUACAGAGGGUGCGAGCGUUGUCCGGAAUCACUGGGCGUAAAGGGCGCGUAGGUGGCUGUGUAAGUCGGGGGUGAAAUGCUGCGGCUCAACCGCAGCGCUGCCUCCGAGACUGCACGGCUCGAGCACGGUAGAGGCCGAUGGAAUUCC
This 560-nucleotide ribosomal RNA is filed under the name uncultured Gemmatimonadota bacterium. RNAcentral's name for it is "bacterial SSU rRNA". It matches the Rfam family "Bacterial small subunit ribosomal RNA", at positions 97 to 670 of the family's 1533-position model. Lineage: Bacteria; Pseudomonadati; Gemmatimonadota. The record is from RNAcentral.